This 498-nucleotide ribosomal RNA is filed under the name Triticum aestivum (bread wheat). RNAcentral describes it as "partial small subunit ribosomal RNA". The record is from RNAcentral. Lineage: Eukaryota; Viridiplantae; Streptophyta; Magnoliopsida; Poales; Poaceae.
AUGUGGGGAUGCAUGUGGAGCUCCGGACGCGGCUCCGGGAGCAGAUCCGGCGGCGGCAGCGACCCCGAGCGCGAGCGGCGCGUCCGGUCGGACGACGCGAGAAAGCGCGGGGCGGGGAAGUGGACCAACCGCGGCCUCUCGCCGCCGCCGUGCUUCCACGUCCGCGAGACAGACAACUAUGACCGUCGGCAUGGUCGUACCCCGUCCUCUGCCGCGGGCUCGUCCUCCGUAGCGAGAUCUUCCUACGCCGGGAGAUCCUCCUCUUCCGGCGCGGGCCUUCUCCCCGUGAAGAGGGAGUGGUCGAAGGAGCCUGAGGACUUCGAGUUCGUCCUCAUCAAGGAGGAGCCCGAGGAGCUUGGCCGCCGCGGAGUCGUCGGGCCAGAGGACUUCGUCGCCGAUGUCGACGUGGUUGCGACCGCCAUUGCCGAGCGGAGCGUGCUCGAGGAGGCGGAGCGCCGACGCCACCACGAGGAGCUCGAAUACCUCCAGUUUUGGUAG